This is a long non-coding RNA of Gasterosteus aculeatus aculeatus (three-spined stickleback), 2370 nucleotides long. Lineage: Eukaryota; Metazoa; Chordata; Actinopteri; Perciformes; Gasterosteidae. The record is from Ensembl.
AAAAUAAACUUCACGCAGUCGCUCUCCUUUCAUUUUCUCACUGCCCCCCAAGCCACAUUAAAUCCAUAAUCCGUCUCUUGAAAACAGUCAAUUAAUGUCUUUCUCUCCCUAAAAGCAGUUUUCCCCGUCUCUCCCUCUCGUAACCCCGGCAGCAGGAAAAAAAAUCACUGCCAUCUCGCUCUCUCUCGGUCGGGCUUCUUAACUCUCCUAAAUCCUUCCUCCUCCUGGAGUAGUUUUAUAUUAACCAGAGGAGUGAUUCCCCUGCCUCAGUGUGUGUGUUUAUUUAAGGCAACGACUACUGGACCCAGGGCGCACACACACACACACACACACACACACACACACGCAAAGACACACACACGUCUGAGCAGAGUGCACCUCCACCAUCAUGACUUCGAUAAACACGCCUGUCAAUCAGGCGGGUCCUAAUGGGGAGUUUUGCAGAUUUUGUGGCGGUUUGCCCCGAGGCUUCUUGGACGAGCGUAAGACUUACUAAUUGUUUUAAGCAGACAAAAAACGCCACACUUCCUGCAGCCUCUUUCAGUGCGAGUGUUUUUAUUCGGCCGGUCGUCUACGUCGCGGUGGAGGUUUAAUGUCUGUGUGAAGGACAAACACUUUGGAGGUGGAUUAUCCGCAGUGAUUCACCCCGUUUGGGGAGCUUUUGUGGUUCAUACUGGGCUUCACGUCUCUUCCUUCUCUCGCUGACCGAGCACGCACGCCUUCCGUUUCUCUCUGGGCCUCCUACACCCCUCCAUCUGCUGCUUCUCCUAACCGGGCACCACCUCUGCAGCACCGUGCAGGUCCAAGAGUCCCCGUUGUCAGGUGCCCAGGGCAUUCAUUCAUUAUAGACCCUCAUCCAUUAUGUAUGAUACUGUGUGUCGCGGUAAAACAGCAGGCCGAUCGACCAUGACGAAGGCAAUCAUUGCCAGGACAAACUAGAGGAGUGCAAUCAGGGGAGCGCACACCUCCGCCAGGUGCACAAAGGAGGGUUGACUGCCACUGACCUUACAGUCAGAGACGACAACAAGGGGGAUUUAUUCAUCUCCUAUCAGGCUAAACUUUAGCAUGUUGUGUAGUGGGACCAAGCUUCAUCAUGCAUUCAGCAUUUUGAGGUCUGCUUUUUGAGCAGAGAAGUGAGGAGUCACCAGUCCAUGGCAGGAUAAAACACCGUCAAUACCUUCGGAACGUGUGAAUCACUGUCACCACAAUAGAUCAUACACAAGCGCAACAAAUAUCAGGCUGACGGGUCCAGUGGUCUGUGAAGGAGACGCGUCACCUCCCUACAGGCUUCGCACAUCCACAAUUAAGACUUGUUUUUCCUUUUCACACCUAAAUAGGACCGGUGACAUUACUUUGUUAACGAAAUGCAUUUAUUUGGAUCGGCAUUCUGAAAAUAGAUCAAAUCAUAUUGGAUGUGUCCUAUUAAUAUUUCUCACCUCCGGAGUGAGCCUAGGAUGUCACUGAACCGAGAAAAGGAAAGAGGGAAAAGAGGGAGAGGCUGAAGCAUGCCUCGCUAACUCACAACAGCUGAGGCAAUACAGAACCUGUGAGUGGAGAGGCGAAGAUGUUAAAUAUAUACACACACAUACAAAGUCAGAGCAAUUAAUCACUUUCUCCAUCAGUCACUGACACAGAUAGAAAGGUGAGUGUGUGUGUGUGUGUGUGUGUGUGUGUUACAGGAAAGUCCGGCCGGACAAAUCCGUUUAUACGAUUAGAGAGAUGAUGUUCGGGUGAUCCGAUCAGCCCCUCAGACACUAAACGAACACACGCAGGGAGAAAAGCAGUAAGGCCUGUGCACUUCUAUGCACAGGGAUCAAUGCAGCACACACUCACAGCGAGAGGGGAAGCAGUGCAGGAACUAUCCCGGGCGCCAGCACGCAGCGCUGCGCUUGCAGUUGAGUUGGGUGAGCAGGCGGGUCGCGGCAGGGUUACUGGGUCGUGACCCACUGAACCCUCCAGGCCACAAGCCGCCGACUCAGGGUCCACCUGGACCGCAUCCCCUACGGCCCAUCAACAGCGGGAGACUAUUUGGACGGAACUAACUCCCACUGGGUUUAUUUUGGUUUUACGCCCGUCCUACUGGUCAGUGUCCUCGUGUGCUUCGGAGAGAAUCGACACACAUCUGAACAGCAACUACGUUGAUGUGAUAAGCGACAGAGUAGUGUUUCUAAACAAGCUAAACUUGUCGUCCCAACUGUUAAUUAUAAAGAUUGAUAUGCAAACACCGCCGCACCGCAUGGACACACACACUCACACACUCGACCGGCUCCCGUCUUUAAAGAGCUGCUGACACAGUCUGUGCGGGAGAGGACGGCGAGUCACGGGCUCACAGGGGACGGAUGUUGAGGUGGAGCCUAAAGGAGGAGGGGA